GGAGAGGCUCCCCAUCUUGAUGCUCAGACAGGAGCCUGUGGUGAAACAGAAGUACAAGUCUGAUAUUUUCAUUGUUUGGAAAUGAUGAAACAAGUCAGGAUCUCAAGGCCACGAUGCUCUCCGCUCUCGGUAGCGGCAAAGACAUCCAAAGAGCAGCCAAACAGACAACGUGAUGUCAUGCCAAGAUAUAGACUUUAUUCCAAAGCCACAAAAUGGACCCAGGAAGGGAUGCAUCACACUCAUUUUCCUGUUAAAAUCCAGCAAACCUUUGAAAAUGCUGCACAUCGAGUGUGUAGGUCCCUUGUUCCACGCUGCCACUCUUCCCUUGGCAAAGGUUUUAUCUCACAGACACAAGCAGCCGACCAUUCAGCACCGG
Myripristis murdjan (pinecone soldierfish) is the source of this 376-nucleotide long non-coding RNA. RefSeq lists it as uncharacterized. NCBI's taxonomy places the organism in Eukaryota, Metazoa, Chordata, Actinopteri, Holocentriformes, Holocentridae. The transcript is spliced from 4 exons. The record is from RefSeq and is a predicted model, not a curated record.